Molecule: ribosomal RNA, 507 nt
Filed under: uncultured bacterium
Lineage: Bacteria
Description: bacterial SSU rRNA
Rfam family: Bacterial small subunit ribosomal RNA
Source: RNAcentral
CAGAGAUGCUUUGGUGCCUUCGGGAACUCUGAGACAGGUGCUGCAUGGCUGUCGUCAGCUCGUGUUGUGAAAUGUUGGGUUAAGUCCCGCAACGAGCGCAACCCUUAUCCUUUGUUGCCAGCGGUUAGGCCGGGAACUCAAAGGAGACUGCCAGUGAUAACUGGAGGAAGGUGGGGAUGACGUCAAGUCAUCAUGGCCCUUACGAGUAGGGCUACACACGUGCUACAAUGGCGCAUACAAAGAGAAGCGACCUCGCGAGAGCAAGCGGACCUCAUAAAGUGCGUCGUAGUCCGGAUUGGAGUCUGCAACUCGACUCCAUGAAGUCGGAAUCGCUAGUAAUCGUGGAUCAGAAUGCCACGGUGAAUACGUUCCCGGGCCUUGUACACACCGCCCGUCACACCAUGGGAGUGGGUUGCAAAAGAAGUAGGUAGCUUAACCUUCGGGAGGGCGCUUACCACUUUGUGAUUCAUGACUGGGGUGAAGUCGUAACAAGGUAAGCGUAGUGCU